CGGGGACCGGCUGCCCCUGCGGAGAGACGGGGAGACUGAGGCUUUGGCAGAGGUGGGGGGCUGUGGAGGAGGAGAUGGGAGACGGAGGGGCACAGGGGUACAGGCUCCAGAGAAACUGAGCUCCGGGGGUUGGAUGAAAAGUCAGAGCCUGCUGUAGGAAAGGCCGAGAGAAAGACCGAGAGACCGAAAGAGAGAGACCAGGAGACUGAGAAAAUGGGAGAGAGAGAUAAAGUCGAGAAGGACACAGAGACAAGAAAGGGAGAGCCAAAAGCCUUCACGGAGGCCAAGGUACAAGUGUAGGAAGACGAUUGAAGGCAUCGUACCAAAAUAUUAACAAUGGGGAUCUUGCUGAAGGGUAAAAUUACUGUGGACAUGAUGGCUGGAGCACAAGCAGCUAUUUUAGACCAUGAGGAAAACUUGGAGAAUGAAAGCCACACACUGCAGAGCAACCAAACAGAAAGAGACAGGGUUCCUGACACAGUGGUCUGCCAUGCUAACUCUCGACUACCUGCCUCUUGACUUCUUAAAUGUGAGAGAGAAAUACACUUCUGGCUAGUAUAACCCAUUGGUAUCUUUUUAAAUUGAAUUAUAAUUGAUAUACAAUAUUA
Vicugna pacos (alpaca) is the source of this 608-nucleotide non-coding RNA. Lineage: Eukaryota; Metazoa; Chordata; Mammalia; Artiodactyla; Camelidae. The record is from RefSeq and is a predicted model, not a curated record.